This 445-nucleotide ribosomal RNA is filed under the name uncultured bacterium. Its description in RNAcentral is "partial 16S ribosomal RNA". It matches the Rfam family "Bacterial small subunit ribosomal RNA", at positions 354 to 796 of the family's 1533-position model. The record is from RNAcentral.
GUGAGGAAUAUUGGUCAAUGGGCGAGAGCCUGAACCAGCCAAGUCGCGUGAAGGAAGACGGCCCUACGGGUUGUAAACUUCUUUUGCAAUGGAAUAAAAAGAGUUACGUGUAAUUCAUUGUAUGUACAUUGCGAAUAAGGAUCGGCUAACUCCGUGCCAGCAGCCGCGGUAAUACGGAGGAUCCGAGCGUUAUCCGGAUUUAUUGGGUUUAAAGGGUGCGUAGGCGGAUUGGAAAGUCAGCGGUGAAAGUUUGCAGCUUAACUGUAAAAUUGCCAUUGAAACUGUCAGUCUUGAGUGCAAAUGAGGUAGGCGGAAUGUGUUGUGUAGCGGUGAAAUGCAGAGAUAUAACACAGAACACCAAUUGCGAAGGCAGCUUACUGGGAUGCAACUGACGCUGAGGAACGAAAGCGUGGGGAUCAAACAGGAUUAGAAACCCGGGUAGUCC